RNAcentral lists this ribosomal RNA (624 nucleotides) under uncultured bacterium. RNAcentral's name for it is "bacterial SSU rRNA". The stretch from base 1 to 522 matches the Rfam family "Bacterial small subunit ribosomal RNA", at positions 338 to 873 of the family's 1533-position model. The record is from RNAcentral.
CCUACGGGAGGCAGCAGUGGGGAAUAUUGGGCAAUGGAGGAAACUCUGACCCAGCGACGCCGCGUGCGGGAUGAAGGCCUUCGGGUUGUAAACCGCUUUCAGUAGGGAAGAAGCGAAAGUGACGGUACCUACAGAAGAAGCACCGGCUAACUAUGUGCCAGCAGCCGCGGUAAUACAUAGGGUGCAAGCGUUGUCCGGAAUUAUUGGGCGUAAAGAGCUCGUAGGUGGUUCGUCACGUCGGAUGUGAAAAUCUGGGGCUCAACCCCAGACCUGCAUUCGAUACGGGCGAUCUAGAGUGUGGUAGGGGAGACUGGAAUUCCUGGUGUAGCGGUGGAAUGCGCAGAUAUCAGGAGGAACACCAAUGGCGAAGGCAGGUCUCUGGGCCAUUACUGACACUGAGGAGCGAAAGCGUGGGGAGCGAACAGGAUUAGAUACCCUGGUAGUCCACGCCGUAAACGGUGGGCACUAGUUGUGGGAACCUUCCACGGUUUCUGCGACGCNGCUACGCAUAAGUAGCCCGCCGUCGGGAGGUACGAGUCGCGAGAAGUUAAACGUAACUAAAGUAGUAAGUUAGUUACGGUCGUUGAGACGUUGCCGACGGACGACCGACGAGGGGAGGUUAGG